CAGCCGCCACGGGAAUACGAAGGGUGCAAGCGUUACUCGGAAUUACUGGGCGUAAAGCGUGCGUAGGUGGUGGUUUAAGUCCGUUGUGAAAGCCCUGGGCCCAACCUGGGAAUUGCAGUGGAUACUGGGUCACUAGAGUGUGGUAGAGGAUAGUGGAAUUUCCGGUGUAGCAGUGAAAUGCGUAGAGAUCGGAAGGAACAUCUGUGGCGAAGGCGACUAUCUGGGCCAACACUGACACUGAGGCACGAAAGCGUGGGGAGCAAACAGGAUUAGAUACCCCCGUAGUCCCUGUCUCUUAUAC
This 301-nucleotide ribosomal RNA is filed under the name uncultured bacterium. RNAcentral describes it as "partial 16S ribosomal RNA". It matches the Rfam family "Bacterial small subunit ribosomal RNA", at positions 509 to 807 of the family's 1533-position model. The record is from RNAcentral.